RNAcentral lists this unclassified non-coding RNA (157 nucleotides) under soil metagenome. RNAcentral describes it as "partial internal transcribed spacer 1". The record is from RNAcentral.
CAGGACUCGCAAGACUCCUACAACCCUGUGAACCUACUAUACGAACGUUGCUUCGGCGGGUGCGCCCCGGGGAUUCGUUCCCGCGGCGCGUCAGCCCGCCGGCAGCCUACAAAUUCUGUUUCUUUGCGUUGGCAUCUCGAGAAAAACAAAUGAGUUA